Molecule: small nuclear RNA, 193 nt
Filed under: Colletotrichum fioriniae PJ7
Lineage: Eukaryota; Fungi; Ascomycota; Sordariomycetes; Glomerellales; Glomerellaceae
Description: U2 spliceosomal RNA
Rfam family: U2 spliceosomal RNA
About the family: U2 is a small nuclear RNA (snRNA) component of the spliceosome (involved in pre-mRNA splicing).
Source: Rfam by way of RNAcentral
UUAGCUCUCUUUGCCUUUUGGCUUAGAUCAAGUGUAGUAUCUGUUCUUUUCAGUUUAAUCUCUGAAAGGUCUCUAAGGAGACCAAUCGUGAUUAUUCCUAUUUUUGUACCUCGAGAGAAGCUCUCUGUGCUUGCACAUGGCUUCUCUCACAGUGUCCCUGGUAUUACACUGCUUCCAGGCGACGCGAACCUAU